ACAGAGGUGUUCUCUCUUUUGGUCCUCAAAACAUCUUCCUCUUUUAAAAAGGUUUUUCCUUCCUCAUGUGGUUGAGAUUAUGUAAUGGACACAGAGGAAACAGACAUACCCUACCCUCCAUGAGCCCAUAGCCUCUUCAGGAAGGCCCCCCAGCCAUGAAGCUCCUUCAGCGUGAGAAGCACCAGGUGAAGUGGGGGCCAGAGAAGAGUGGCCUGGGCCUCAGGUCCGCGCUGGUGAGGGAAGAAGUGGGGCUCUCUGGAGGCCAGUGUGCUGAGCCCUGCAGUGUGAGGAGGGGUCACCUAAGUGAGUAGGGACAAGGGCAGGAGGGUAGCCUCUGUGAAGGCCCAGGAUGAUCGAGGGUGGCUCUCUGGAGGGAUGCACUAGUCUGAACGAGUGACAGGGGCCAGGUUGGGAGGGAUUGAGUCCCGCUGCUCACAGCACCCCCCCAACCAGUCUACAUCUCUGCAGCUCUCUCACCACCCUCCCUACUUCAUUGAUCUCCAUUGCACUUAGCAACAUCUGACAUUUGCAUAUUUCACUUGCAUAUUUCUUUGUCAGACUCUUGCAUGUAAACUUCACGAAAGCAAGUGUUUUACAUGUUUUAUUUACAGUGGUAUCCACAGUACCUAGGACAAUGGAUAGAUACAUAGAGGACACUCGACUAAUAUUUCAAUGAAUAAAUGAAUGUUUGAAUGAGAAGAAAACUCAGUAUCAGAGUGAAACAAACAAGAAAUUACUAAAGUGAAUUGAUGAGAGCUUUUUGGGGGAAAUUUUCUCGUUCCCGGGACGUGGCGUGUGCACGUACACACAGCCAAGUAAAUGCUAUGGUGAAAUUAGACUUACUUUCUUACAUCUUCAGGCUGUCUCAUAAAGUAUUUGAGACUCUAGGUUUUUAGCAAUAAACUUGCUGAUGCAGCUGAGUUAUAAUAUGGCAGAAUGGAUUUGGGCACUAGUGUUAUGCUUGAAAUGUAACAAUGCGGUUGGUUUCUAAAGGAGUAGUUGGUGACAUGGUGAAAUCACUGGUUGCCCCGAUAGGAUAAGGCCAGCAGCCCCUGUGAUCUAGCCAUGUUGAUAAGGAUAAGGAUUCCACCCAGCUGUUUUCUUUAGGGAGCUGCCCUGGCUAUCUCCCUAUAAGAGCCUAAAGAAACAGUACAAGCAGCCACCAUUUCACCAGCCAGGACUGCUCCUGGAAAUGCCAUCUCCCACUGGGCAAUAAAGGACUCCACUUUUUUCAGGAUCUGCCUGUGCCCAACCCUUAUCUAGAACAGAAAGAAACCAUAACCCAUAAUUUCCCCCGAGGAUUCCAACACCUCCCCACUCACUCCCCUAUGAGUCUCAGGAAGACAGGUUUGUUUUCCUGUGAGAAUCCGUGUCUCUUUGCAAAAGGUCUGUUUUCCCAAAAGAAAAGGAAUUUGCUUCAGUUCUGCUUCUGGAACUAGAAAGCCAGGUCUUCACCAAACUCAUGUACAAAGGGAUAAAGUCACAGUUGCCAUGACCUCACACUAACAUCAACAAAUACUUACUGGGUGUAGGACAUUGUGCUAGCUGCUGUGAGGGAAGAAGAAUGGAUAUCUUUGCAAAGAUCUUAAAAGAUACAGACUCAUUUUCCAUUAAAAACUAAUUACUUGGCCAAGCAUGGUGGUUCAUGCCUGUAAUCCCAGCACUUUGAGAGGCCGAGACAGGAAGAUCCCUUGAGCCCAGUUCAAGACCAGCCUGGGCAACAUGGUGAAACCCCAUCUUUACAAAAAAUACAAAAUUUAGCCAGACUUGGUGACUUGUGCCUGUGGUCCCAGCUACUUCAGAUGCUGGGAUGGAUGGAUCACUUGAUCCAGGGAGCUAGAGGUUGUAGUGAGCUGAGAUUGUGCCACUGCACUCUAUCCUGGAUGACAGAACAAGGCCCUAUCUCAAAAAACAAAAUAUACUAAGCACUGAGCUCUGUGAGGUCGUCAGUAUCAUCAAGAGGCUUAGCUUUGUAUGAGCUCCAUUCUGAGAACCUGGGAGGGUUGAGUCUGUGCCAAUAUCCUGCUGUGCUGUGGGAUGGAGCCAAGCCUUGACCUUUUGGUUUGCCACCAGAAUAAAGCUGCAGAUAGAAAAUGUGGGGGGGAGAGUGGAAGAAGGAAUCUCAGAGGGGAAGAAAGGACCUCCAGCUUCAAUUUGAGACAAUUUUACAAGAAACGUAAUGAAGGCUAUGCACCACAUUCAGGUGUAUUCCAGAUCAGGGGUUGGCAAACCGUGACCCACCCCAGCUUUUGUAUGUACCGUUUGAUGGGAAGGCAGCCACCAUUCAUUUUUUUCUUGUUAUCUAUGAUGCUUUUGUGCUUCAGAAGUAGAGCUGAGCAGUUAUGAUACAUACCGUACGGCCCAAAAGUUAAAACUAUUUACUAUCUGGUCCUUUACAGAAAACGUUUACCAACCUUUGGUUUCGAACAUGAACAAGAGUUCUGCCAGUCUGACGUGUACUUUUGAUCAGACGAGUAAGGUUACUCCAGGGAUUUCCAGCUGUUUCCUUCCUACCUAUUUCCCCUCUUUGAAAUUGCCUGUAAUUCCCCCAGCUGCACUCUCCUGUAACAUUAGGCCGAGAGAUGGAAGGCUGUGUGCACUUGGAGCUACACACAUCUGUGCAGUGGGUUACAUGAAGGGGAGAUUAACACCAGCUUCCUUUUUUUAAGACAGGGUCUUGCUCUGUCACCCAGGCUGGAGUGCAACGGCAUAAUCAUGGCUCAUUGUAGCCUCAAACUCCUGGGCUCAAGCAAUCCUCCCACCUCAAUCUCCCGAGUAGCUAGGACUACAGGCAUGCACCACCAUACUGGGAUAAUUUUUUAAUAUUUUUCUUGAGACAAGGUCUCACUGUGUUGCUCAGGCUGGUCUGGAACUCCUGAGCUCAAACAAUCCUUCUGCCUUGGCCUCACAAAGUGCAGGUAUACAGGUAUGGGCCACCGUGCCUGGCCAACACCAGCUUCUUUAGAAAUGAAAGACCAUGUGAAUACAUUUUAAGAAAAGCAGUUUCCUGUAUUCUUCUGUAAACAUUGAGAAUUUAUUUUAUUUUUCCUCCAAUGGCCUAUGUGUUUGAUCAAUAAUCACAGUAAUUUUCAUAACAUUGUAUGGUUUGGCAUGACAUAAGUAAAAAUAAACCCAGAAGCCAUCAUUCUCAGCAAACUAACACAGGCACAGAAAACCAAACAGCGUAUGUUCUCACUUAGAAGUGGAAGUUGAACGAAGAGAACACUUGGACACAGAGAGGGGACCAACACACACCGGGGCCUGUCGGAGGUAGGGGGCGAGGGGAGGGAGAGCAUUGGGACAAAUAGUAUUGUAACCGAGGUUUAAAACCUAGAUGAUGGGUUGACAGGUACACCACACCACCACGGCACACGUGUAUCUAUGUAACAAACCUACACAUUCUGCACUUGUAUUCCAGAACUUAAAAUAAAAAUAGCUAACAUGUAUUGAGCUCUUACUAAAUGUCAGUCCCCAUUCUAAGAGUUUUAUGUGAGCUGUCCUAUUGAAUCCUCAUUAUUGCCGCAAGAGAUAAGGACUCUCAUCACCGUCAUUUUACAGAUGAGCAAACUGGGGAGGAGAGGGGUUAAGUAAUUUGCCCAUGGUCAGACACACAGUAAGUAGAGAAGCAGGGUUUCAAACCGCUCCUGCGCCAUGACCUUGGCCACUACAUUCUGUACCGCUUGCCUCAAGAAAUGUGAAAAUAAACAACUAAAAAAUCUAAUUGGGAAGUAAAUUCUCAUCAGACAUGCAACAUUUAAGUAUUUGUCAAGUGCUAAUACCAAAUGCUAAUACGGAAGGACAAUGUUAAUUUUUAUCUACAUUGAUCUAUGAUUUUUCAGAUAAAUAUCUUGAAACUACACUUUUAAAACCUGUAACUUUUAGUAAUUUCUAUUCUCUUCUGGGUCUUUAUUGGACUUUGAUUUCUUUCUUUCUUUUUUAUUGGGAAGCGUUUCUAAGUCAAUCUUAUCAAACUCAACUAUAUAAGAUUGUCAUAAACUAGUGAUUUUCUUCUCAUUACAUCUGAGACGCAGACAGUGAGAAGAAGCAAGACAACUACAAUCUUUGUUUUUAUAUUUUAUUUAACUAUAUUUGCCAAGAUACUUGCAAAGCCUGUGGAGGUCUAGGAACAGCAUCUCCAGUCAACAAUGUUUCCUUUCUUGCGCUUCAAUCUCUAGUGAUUGAUCAGGGGCCUCCAAGUAGCAAGUUCUUCUUUGUUUGGGGAAGGGAUCAGUGAACAAUGUAACUCGUUCCUGACAUUUCAGUUAACAACUUUGAAAGAAAAGGUUUUUAAAAUCCAAUGAAACUCCUAAAAAAUAAUUGACUUUGCUUCUGCCCCCAUGUUCUCCUCCAAAGAAUCACACCUGAAAGUUUCCAAUGAUUCCACCAGCGAAUUUCCCUCCUGUUUUAAUUAACAUUGUAGGGUGGAGGUCCUAUACCCUGGAGACUUUUAUAUCUGUGUUUGAUGUUACAACAAAUAGAAUUUGAAAAAAAAAUAUAUAUAUAUAUAUAUAUAUUUUUUUUUGAGACGGAGUCUUGCUCUGUCGCCAGGCUGGAGCACAGUGGCACAGUCUUGGCUCACUGCAACCUCCGCUUCCUGGGUUCAAGCAAUUCUUCUGCCUCAGCCUCUCAAGUAGCGGGGACUACAGGCGGGUGCCAAAUGCCUGGCUAAUUUUUGUAUUUUUAGUAGAGCUAGGGCUUCUCCAUGUUGACCAGGCUGGUCUUGAACUCCUGACCUCAGGUGAUCCAUCUGCUUUGGCCUCCCAAAGUGCUGGGAUUACAGGCAUGAGCCACUUUGCCCAGCCAGAUUCAAUGCACUCUCUAUUAAAAUACCACUGGCAUUCUUCAUGCAAAUAGCAAAAAAUGACCGGGUGCAUGGUGGCUCAUGUCUGUAAUCCCGGCACUUUGGGAGGCCGAGGUGGAUGGAUCACUUGAGGUCAGGAGUUCAAGAGCAGCCUGGCCAACAUGGUGAAACCCUGUCUCUACUAAAAAUACAGAAAUUAGCCAGGCAUGAUGGCGUGCCUGCUUGUAGUCCCAGCUACUUGGGAGGCUGAGGUGGGAGAAUCACUUGAACCCAGGAGGUGGAGGUUGCAGUGAGCUGAGAUUGUGCCACUGCACUCCAGCCUGGGCAACAGGGUGAGACUCCAGUCCCCCCGCCACCAACCCCCCGUCAAAGAAAAAAGAGAAAGAUAUAUUGUUCAGCAUGGUGACUAUAAUUAAUGAAGAAAUAUAUUGAAAAAUACAGACUAGUUCGAAGGUAGUGAGUUAUCGCAACUGGUUGUUGAGUCAAUUGUGGAUUGAACUUUUUGUUCUACUCUUUCCCUGCUUCUUACUGCUGCAUUUGACUAGUCUUAAAGAGAAGGAAAAAGGAAAAAUAAAGAAAAAUACAUAGAGGACAUUCAGUGUUUCCACUACAAAAAUGAAAAAUAACUGUUAAGUAGUGCUUUUGAUGAUUCACCAAUGAACAUAUACUUGAAAUGUUAUGUUUCAAAAAAAAAACAAGAAAUGUUGUACAUGAUAAAUACAUAUAGUUUUUUUCUGUCAGUUUGAAACAUUUAGAAAUUAAAGAAUAGAUAAUGUGAAACACAAGCUAUUUAUGUAGGUAGUUUAAAAUUUUUUAGUAGCCAAAUUAAAGAACCAACUCAGGAGACUGGUGAAAUUAGUAAUGUUUCUUUUUUUUUUUUGAGACGGAGUUUCGCUCUUGUUACCCAGGCUGGAGUGCAAUGGCAUGAUCUCAGCUCACCACAACCUCCGCCUCCUGGGUUCAGGCAAUUCUCCUGCCUCAGCCUCCCGAGUAGCUGGAAUUACAGGUGCGCACCACCAUGCCCAGGUAAUUUUUUGCACUUUUAGUAGAGACGGGGUUUCACCAUGUUGACCAGGAUGGUCUCGAUCUCUUGACCUAGUGAUCUACCCACCUCGGCCUCCCAAAGUGCUGGGAUUACAGGCGUGAGCCACCGCGCCAGGCCCAAUAAUGUUUCUUACUUAACCUAAUAUCUGUGAUGGACUGAAUUUGCGUUCUUUUCCCUUGCCAAAUUCAUAUGUUGAAACCCUCACUCCCAAUGCGAUAGUUUUAGGAUGUGGAUCUUUAGAGAGGUGAUUAGGAUUAGGUGAGGUCAUCAGGGUAGAGUCCUCAUGAAUGGAAUUGGUAACCUUACAAGAGUCACGAGGGAGCUUGAUUCCUCUCUCUGCCCUCUCCCAUGUGAAGAUAUGACUUCUGGGCAGUGUGCAGCCCAGAAGAGGGUCCUCACCAGAACCCAACCAUGCUGACAUCUUGAUCUUGGACUUCUGGCUUCUGGAACUGUGAGAAAUAACUGUGCGUUAUGAUAAACUACACACAAAAGAAAAAAGAUGUGAAGCACAGCUCUGGACCUCACAUCCUGAGCUCAAAUCCUGGCUGCUGCUUCCUAGCUGGGAGUCCUAGGCCAAAUGAGUCUGGCCCGUGUCUCAGCUUCCUCACCAGCAAAACGGGGGAGUGCUGAGCCGGCAGUUCAAGGCAUCCUGCUCCUGGCCACCCGGCCCCGCCUCGUCCCCUCCUGAGUGCACACGCACCUGUUUGAGGAUGUUCUGCUCCCUCAUCAGCUUCUGCCGUUCCC
Non-coding RNA from Callithrix jacchus (white-tufted-ear marmoset), 6590 nucleotides. The record is from RefSeq and is a predicted model, not a curated record. Lineage: Eukaryota; Metazoa; Chordata; Mammalia; Primates; Cebidae.